GAACUUUUCACGGCCUACUGAGGUCUUGAACUCUAACAUGGCUUGAUGCACACUUUGGGAGUCAGCUGGCUCCUUGUUCUGUGGACUGACCGCUCAGUGUUUGGACUACACAGGAAGAGUGUUUCAGAAGCAAGUGUAAUGGGGAAGGUGCUCUACUUCCUGCCUGGGAGGUGAGGGAGGCUGGGAUGGAGGCUUGGAGGUGCAGAUGAAUCCUAUCACCUACAGCAACACCCAUGGGGAGAUGAGGGCUGGAGGCAGUGAUACCAACUCGUCACUCAUUUGCUGAAAGCACCACUAGCUGGCACUUCCUGCUCACGAGCUCAGGGGCUACAGGGACCAGCCCCAGCCCAGUGCCCCCAGUGCCCCCGUUCUUCUCCAGUCAACCUUGCCCAGCACCAAACAGUGUCCUCACACCACUCCAUUUCACAUGCUUCUGUACACAAAGUCCCGGCCGGCAAACCACAUUUAUGACCCACUUGCUGGGAGCUGUGAUGUUUUUAAGAGCCAUUGGCUUGCAUUUUAGUAGCAUGUUAUCUCUUCCUCUCUCUGCAUUUGUCUCCACUUUCGUUAAGUAAAAGUCAAUAGCGUACAAACAUUCCCCUUUCAGACUUUGUCUGGUCUAACCCAGAGAGAAAAACAACCUUGCAGACCCCACCCUCAUCCAGGCUGCACCCGACCCAACUGUGUUCCCAGCAGAAGUUUGCACAUUGCGAUUUCUCCAUUACACUACAUCCAGAUGACUCUUCUGGUGCAGCCCAACCACUGGGGAUCAGACCGGAGAGCCCUAACUGUGAUUUCCAACAUGAUGUGCUAGGAAAUAGAUUGCGUAUGGCCACACAAUGGAAAACUACUCAGCUAUGCCAGAUGUAACCAUGUGUAACCACGUGCAUCAUGUUGAAUGAGAGAAGCCAGACACAACAGAGAAUACUAUAAGACACUCUUUACACGAAAUUUGAAAACAGGUAAAACUCACCAGUGUUCUUGGUGAUGGUCAGUAUGGUGGUCAUCCUGGGGUGGGUAAGAAGGGCUGGCUAAGAGGCUGGCCACACUCUGGUUUUAAUCAGGAUAUGUAGGCAGCUUCAUUAGCUGGAAAUUCAUCAAGCUGGGAUUUACAUGCUUUUCUGUAUGCAUGUUAUCUUCUAAAAAAAGGUUUGUUCUGGACAGAAACUUCCUCCUAGAUCCCAAGCUCACUCUGGAUUCAGUGCCAUUGAGGAAUUUGUAGUUUUAACCAAUUACCUGUCACCAAAAUGACCUAUUCCACUGUUCCCCAGGAUUUCAUUCUUACCCAGAUGCUGAGGACUUUCAGUUCUAUAUCUUUAUUUUUAAUAGUCUCUUCCCAUCUCACUCAACUCCCAAGCAUUUUGCAGCAGCUAUUGGCGUGAUUAAUGAGAAAGGCAGUGAUUUUUUUCCUUCCUGAAUUGUGUGGAGUCAAGGGGGAGGAAAUAGACA
This 1449-nucleotide long non-coding RNA is filed under the name Heterocephalus glaber (naked mole-rat). Its description in RNAcentral is "lncRNA (ENSHGLG00000034252.1)". The record is from RNAcentral. Lineage: Eukaryota; Metazoa; Chordata; Mammalia; Rodentia; Bathyergidae.